This 367-nucleotide unclassified non-coding RNA is filed under the name Hevea brasiliensis (rubber tree). The record is from RNAcentral. Lineage: Eukaryota; Viridiplantae; Streptophyta; Magnoliopsida; Malpighiales; Euphorbiaceae.
ACCGCUUCAUACGUCAAGGUACCAGAACGAGAAACAAUCCCAAUACGUCCUGGUUUGUGGAUAUAUCCAGGCAUUAUUCCAAUUUUGCAUUCUCCGGGCUUGAUAAUGCCAGGACAGUUUGGUCCAAUCAAACGGGUCUUCGAUUGCUUGGUAAGAGCAGCCUUUACUCGAACCAUGUCAUGCUGCGGGAUUCCCUCAGUGAUACACACCACCAGAUCCAGCUCCGCCUCCAUCGCCUCCAUGAUCGCAGCCGCCGCAAACGGCGGCGGGACAUAAAUCACCGACGCAUUAGCCUUGGUCUCCGCCUUCGCCUCUGCGACCGAAUUAAACACAGGAAGCCCUAGGUGCUCCGUCCCGCCCUUCUUCG